RNAcentral lists this ribosomal RNA (483 nucleotides) under uncultured bacterium. RNAcentral describes it as "partial 16S ribosomal RNA". It matches the Rfam family "Bacterial small subunit ribosomal RNA", at positions 28 to 523 of the family's 1533-position model. The record is from RNAcentral.
GACGAACGCUGGCGGCGUGCUUUACACAUGCAAGUCGAACGGUGAAGGUGGAGCUUGCUCCGCCGGAUCAGUGGCGAACGGGUGAGUAACACGUGGGCAACCUGCCCCUAACUUUGGGAUAACUACUCGAAAGAGUAGCUAAUACCGGAUAUGAAGUCUGUAGGCAUCUACGGAUUUGUAAAGUUUUUCGGUUAGGGAUGGGCCCGCGGCCUAUCAGCUUGUUGGUGAGGUAGUGGCUCACCAAGGCGACGACGGGUAGCCGGCCUGAGAGGGCGACCGGCCACACUGGGACUGAGACACGGCCCAGACUCCUACGGGAGGCAGCAGUGGGGAAUAUUGCGCAAUGGGCGAAAGCCUGACGCAGCAACGCCGCGUGCGGGAUGAAGGCCUUCGGGUUGUAAACCGCUUUCAGCAGGGAAGAAGCGAAAGUGACGGUACCUGCAGAAGAAGCACCGGCUAACUACGUGCCAGCAGCCGCGGUAA